GGAUCCAGACUUUGAUCAUGGCUCAGGAUGAACGCUAGCUACAGGCUUAACACAUGCAAGUCGAGGGGAAACGACAUCGAAAGCUUGCCUUUGAUGGGCGUCGACCGGCGCACGGGUGAGUAACGCGUAUCCAACCUGCCCACCACUUGGGGAUAACCUUGCGAAAGUAAGACUAAUACCCAAUGACGUCUCUAGAAGACAUCUGAAGGAGAUUAAAGAUUUAUCGGUGAUGGAUGGGGAUGCGUCUGAUUAGCUUGUUGGCGGGGUAACGGCCCACCAAGGCAACGAUCAGUAGGGGUUCUGAGAGGAAGGUCCCCCACAUUGGAACUGAGACACGGUCCAAACUCCUACGGGAGGCAGCAGUGAGGAAUAUUGGUCAAUGGGCGAGAGCCUGAACCAGCCAAGUAGCGUGCAGGAUGACGGCCCUAUGGGUUGUAAACUGCUUUUAUAAGGGAAUAAAGUGAGUCUCGUGAGACUUUUUGCAUGUACCUUAUGAAUAAGGACCGGCUAAUUCCGUGCCAGCAGCCGCGGUAAUACGGAAGGUCCGGGCGUUAUCCGGAUUUAUUGGGUUUAAAGGGAGCGUAGGCCGGAGAUUAAGCGUGUUGUGAAAUGUAGAUGCUCAACAUCUGAACUGCAGCGCGAACUGGUUUCCUUGAGUACGCACAAAGUGGGCGGAAUUCGUGGUGUAGCGGUGAAAUGCUUAGAUAUCACGAAGAACUCCCACCGCCAAGGCAGCUCACUGGAGCGCAACUGACGCUGAAGCUCGAAAGUGCGGGUAUCGAACAGGAUUAGAUACCCUGGUAGUCCGCACGGUAAACGAUGGAUGCCCGCUGUUGGUCUGAAUAGGUCAGCGGCCAAGCGAAAGCAUUAAGCAUCCCACCUGGGGAGUACGCCGGCAACGGUGCAACUCAAAGGAAUUGACGG
This 924-nucleotide ribosomal RNA is filed under the name uncultured Bacteroidota bacterium. RNAcentral describes it as "bacterial SSU rRNA". It matches the Rfam family "Bacterial small subunit ribosomal RNA", at positions 1 to 916 of the family's 1533-position model. Lineage: Bacteria; Pseudomonadati; Bacteroidota. The record is from RNAcentral.